This 558-nucleotide ribosomal RNA is filed under the name uncultured archaeon. RNAcentral's name for it is "bacterial SSU rRNA". It matches the Rfam family "Archaeal small subunit ribosomal RNA", at positions 321 to 879 of the family's 1478-position model. The record is from RNAcentral.
CCCUACGGGGUGCAGCAGGCGCGAAACCUUUACAAUGCACGAAAGUGUGAUAAGGGGAUUCCAAGUGCUCAAGCUUUGCUUGGGCUUUUGCCAAUACUAAAGAUCUUGGCGAAUAAGUGGUGGGCAAGACUGGUGCCAGCAACCGCGGUAACACCAGCGCCACAAGUGGGAACCAUAAUUAUUGGGCCUAAAGCGUUCGUAGCCGGUUUUGUGAGUCCUUUGUGAAAUCGUCGAGCUUAACUUGACGGAAUGCAGGGGAAACUGCAAAACUAGGGACCGGAAGGGGUUAGGAGUAUUUUUGGGGGAGCGGUAAAAUGCUAUAAUCCCAAAAAGACUGCCUGUGGCGAAGGCGCCUAACCAGUACGGAUCCGACGGUGAGGAACGAAAGCUAGGGGAGCGAUCCGGAUUAGAUACCCGAGUAGUCCUAGCUGUAAACUCUGCGAGCAAGGUGUUGCACAUUUUACGUGAAUGUACAGUGUCGAAACGAAGGUGUUAAGCUCGCCGCCUGGGGAGUACGGUCGCAAGACUGAAACUUAAAGGAAUUGAAAAAAAGAGCAC